This 433-nucleotide ribosomal RNA is filed under the name uncultured bacterium. Its description in RNAcentral is "partial 16S ribosomal RNA". It matches the Rfam family "Bacterial small subunit ribosomal RNA", at positions 29 to 507 of the family's 1533-position model. The record is from RNAcentral.
AGCGAACGCUGGCGGCAGGCCUAACACAUGCAAGUCGAACGAACUCGUCGUAGUUAGUGGCGGUCGUGUGAUUAACACGUGGGAACUUGCCCUUUGGUUCGGAAUAACUCAGUUAAACUUGUGCUAAUACCGAAUGUGCUCUUCGGGGGAACGAUUUAUCGCCAUUAGAGCGGCCCGCGUCUGAUUAGCUAGUUGGUGAGGUAACGGCUCACCAAGGAGACGAUCAGUAGCUAGUCUGAGAGGAUGACUAGCCACACUGGGAAUGCGACACGGCCCAGACUCCGACGGGAGGCAGCAGUGGGGAAUCUAGCGGAAUGGGCGAAAGCGUGACGCAGCCAUGCGGCGUGAAUGAUGAAGGUCUUAGGAUUGUAAAAUUCUUUCAGAGGGGACGAUAAUGACGGUAACCGGAGAAGAAGCCCCGGCUAACUUCGUG